Molecule: long non-coding RNA, 1897 nt
Organism: Gallus gallus (chicken)
Lineage: Eukaryota; Metazoa; Chordata; Aves; Galliformes; Phasianidae
Source: Ensembl
CUUAAACUAGAUAUUACAAAGAAAUUCUUUUCUGUGAGGGUGAUGAAACACUGAAACAGGCUGCCUAGAAAGGUUGUUAAUGCCCCCUUCCUGCAAGUGUUCAAGGCCAGGCUGGAUGGGACUUUGAGGAACCUGAUCUAGUGGAAGGUGUUCUUCCUGUAGCACAGAGGUUGGAACUAGAUGAUUUUAAACGUUUCUUCCAACCCAAACCGUUCCAUGAUUCUAUGAUAUCUCUUCCCAGAAAACCUCCACCACAUCCCUCAGCAGCCUGUUCCCAUACCUCAGCACUCUUUCUGGGAAGAAACUUUUUCCUAACACCCAACCUGAACUUCCCCUGGCACAACUUCAGACCUUUACUUCUUGCUUUAUCACUAGUUUCAUGGGAAAAGUGGUGGCCAACUUCUGUUUCACCACAACCUCCUUUCAUAGAGUUGUGAAGAAUGAUAAAGUCUGCCCUGAGCCUCCUCUCUUCUAGACUAAACAAUCCCAUUUCUGUCAGUUGCUCCUCAUAAGACUUGUGUUACAGAUCCUUCACCAGCUUUAUUGCACUUCUCUGGAUGCACUCGAGGUCCUCAGAGUCUUCCUUGUAGUGUCCAGAACUGAACACAUUUGUCAAGGUGCAUCUUCACCGGUUCCAAGUAUGGAGGGACAAUCACCUCCCUGCUCCUGUUGAUUACAGUAUUUCUGAAACAAGAUAGAUGCCAUUAGUUUUCUUGACCACCUGGGCACUCUGCUGACUGAUAUUCAGCCAGCUUUCAGCUAUAGGGAAAUAACUGAAUGACCAGGUCAACAGAGGUAACUGAGUUGGUACAAAAUUUAAUUUUGCAAAGUGCCAACUCAUGCAUUUAAAAACCAAUGGCAAUGGCUGCUGCCAUAAAUAGCGAACUCAUCAAUUGGAAUCGACACAGAAGAAGAAUGUUCUAGUCUAUUAAUCUAUCACAGCAUGACAAUGAACCUCAAAUGUUGCUGUGGUCAUGAAAAAAGCAAAUACAUCAGGUGCGGCAUUCCCAGUGAGGACAGGGAAUCUAUAAAUACCACUGUGUAAGAUAUCACCAAGAACUCAUCAUGAAUGCUGUGUAUAUUUCGGUCACUCACAUGCAAGGAAGAUGAACUCAAGAAAGUGCCAAGGAGUGCUGCUAAAAUGACUGGGGAAAUGAUGAGCUUAUCUUACAUGAGGAGAGUAAAGGAAUUUUGCUUGUUUAGCCUAGCAACACAAGGAAAGAAAAGGGACUAUAAUUAUCCUCUCUAAAAAUAAAUAAAUAAAUAAAUAAAUAAGAGAAGAGUUAUUUGAACUGAAGAGUUCUGCUGGCACAAGAACAAUAAAGAUAAGCAGUCAUGGACAAAUAUGUGCUGGAAUUAGAUGAAGGUUUGUGGGAAAUGACAUGAACUAGUAGAUGGAAUGAGAGGGACAAAAUCUAAUUAAGCUUGAAGUGGAACUUCACCCACUGCUGAAUGAUAAUGUGUGGAAUUGCCAGGUCAUGGCCUGAACCAAUGGUUGAGCACCAGGCAAGAAGGCAUGGCUAACCCAGGGAGCUCAGGUGCAAGCAAUGCACUCCUCCUGAGCUGUCACUUGCUGUCAGAAAGGAAUUUCACAGGCGUCCAAGGUGUUGCUGAUCACACAUUGAAAGUUGAUGACAUCGGAAAUGGGAAUGCACCUUACCUUCACAUUUUUCACCUUUUUGACAAAACUGUGGCAAGUGCUCUAAAUCCUAAAUCCACAAACAUUCGUAAGGAAUUCCAUCAAGAUUUCAAGAUAGAAAAGAAAGAGAGAGAUCAGUUGGACAAAACUGCUUCUGGAACAGCAAAGAAGUGCUCUGAGCCGAGUACUUGAAAGCAGCUGUGAAGAUACGAAACUGUCUGGGCAUCAUCAUUGCAUGCUUUUCCUUGGAAUGAAGAG